GAUGAAGAACGUAGCGAAAUGCGAUAAGUAAUGUGAAUUGCAGAAUUCAGUGAAUCAUCGAAUCUUUGAACGCACCUUGCGCCCUUUGGCCAUUCCGAAGGGCAUGCCUGUUUGAGUAUCAUGAACACCUCAACUCUUUAUGGUUCUCCAUGAUGAGCUUGGACUCUGGGGGUUUUGCUGGCUCACAGUCGGCUCCUCUAAAAUGAAUCAGCUUACCAGUGUUUGGUGGGUAUCAUGGGUGUGAUAACUAUCUACGCUUGUGGUUUUUCCACCAGGUAACCUUCAGCAGUGGAGGUUCGCUGGAGCUCAUAGAUGUCUCUCCUCAGUGAGGACAGCCCUUUGAAUGUUUGAUCUCAAAUCAGGUAGGACUACCCGCUGAACUUAAGCAUAUCAAUAAGCGGAGGA
This 405-nucleotide unclassified non-coding RNA is filed under the name soil metagenome. Its description in RNAcentral is "partial contains 5.8S ribosomal RNA, internal transcribed spacer 2, and large subunit ribosomal RNA". The stretch from base 1 to 121 matches the Rfam family "5.8S ribosomal RNA", at positions 35 to 154 of the family's 154-position model. The record is from RNAcentral.